GGCCGGCUGGCCUAAUGGUUAAGGCGUCAGUUUCCGGUUUGGGGUCAGCUGAAGAUUCGGGGUUCGAAUCCCCGGUUGGUCG
Transfer RNA from Fibroporia radiculosa TFFH 294, 82 nucleotides. It matches the Rfam family "tRNA". From Rfam's summary of the family: Transfer RNA (tRNA) molecules are approximately 80 nucleotides in length. Their secondary structure includes four short double-helical elements and three loops (D, anti-codon, and T loops). The record is from Rfam. NCBI's taxonomy places the organism in Eukaryota, Fungi, Basidiomycota, Agaricomycetes, Polyporales, Fibroporiaceae.